Molecule: ribosomal RNA, 843 nt
Filed under: Pseudomonas sp. 001xTSA12A_B04
Lineage: Bacteria; Pseudomonadati; Pseudomonadota; Gammaproteobacteria; Pseudomonadales; Pseudomonadaceae
Description: bacterial SSU rRNA
Rfam family: Bacterial small subunit ribosomal RNA
Source: RNAcentral
AGUCGAGCGGUAGAGAGAAGCUUGCUUCUCUUGAGAGCGGCGGACGGGUGAGUAAUGCCUAGGAAUCUGCCUGGUAGUGGGGGAUAACGCUCGGAAACGGACGCUAAUACCGCAUACGUCCUACGGGAGAAAGCAGGGGACCUUCGGGCCUUGCGCUAUCAGAUGAGCCUAGGUCGGAUUAGCUAGUUGGUGAGGUAAUGGCUCACCAAGGCGACGAUCCGUAACUGGUCUGAGAGGAUGAUCAGUCACACUGGAACUGAGACACGGUCCAGACUCCUACGGGAGGCAGCAGUGGGGAAUAUUGGACAAUGGGCGAAAGCCUGAUCCAGCCAUGCCGCGUGUGUGAAGAAGGUCUUCGGAUUGUAAAGCACUUUAAGUUGGGAGGAAGGGCAUUAACCUAAUACGUUGGUGUCUUGACGUUACCGACAGAAUAAGCACCGGCUAACUCUGUGCCAGCAGCCGCGGUAAUACAGAGGGUGCAAGCGUUAAUCGGAAUUACUGGGCGUAAAGCGCGCGUAGGUGGUUUGUUAAGUUGGAUGUGAAAUCCCCGGGCUCAACCUGGGAACUGCAUUCAAAACUGACAAGCUAGAGUAUGGUAGAGGGUGGUGGAAUUUCCUGUGUAGCGGUGAAAUGCGUAGAUAUAGGAAGGAACACCAGUGGCGAAGGCGACCACCUGGACUGAUACUGACACUGAGGUGCGAAAGCGUGGGGAGCAAACAGGAUUAGAUACCCUGGUAGUCCACGCCGUAAACGAUGUCAACUAGCCGUUGGGAGCCUUGAGCUCUUAGUGGCGCAGCUAACGCAUUAAGUUGACCGCCUGGGGAGUACGGCCGCAAGGUUAAA